This 427-nucleotide ribosomal RNA is filed under the name uncultured bacterium. RNAcentral's name for it is "partial 16S ribosomal RNA". It matches the Rfam family "Bacterial small subunit ribosomal RNA", at positions 355 to 774 of the family's 1533-position model. The record is from RNAcentral.
UGGGGAAUAUUGGACAAUGGGGGCAACCCUGAUCCAGCCAUGCCGCGUGUGUGAAGAAGGCCUUUUGGUUGUAAAGCACUUUAAGCAGUGAAGAAGACUCCAUGGUUAAUACCCAUGGACGAUGACAUUAGCUGCAGAAUAAGCACCGGCUAACUCUGUGCCAGCAGCCGCGGUAAUACAGAGGGUGCAAGCGUUAAUCGGAAUUACUGGGCGUAAAGCGAGCGUAGGUGGCUUGAUAAGUCAGAUGUGAAAGCCCCGUGCUUAACCUGGGAACGGCAUCUGAUACUGUUAGGCUAGAGUAGGUGAGAGGAAGGUAGAAUUCCAGGUGUAGCGGUGAAAUGCGUAGAGAUCUGGAGGAAUACCGAUGGCGAAGGCAGCCUUCUGGCAUCAUACUGACACUGAGGUUCGAAAGCGUGGGUAGCAAACA